CCUACGGGAGGCAGCAGUAGGGAAUUUUCCACAAUGGGCGAAAGCCUGAUGGAGCAAUACCGCGUGCAGGAUGAAGGCCUUCGGGUCGUAAACUGCUUUUAUGUGCGAAGAAUUUGACGGUAACACAUGAAUAAGGAUCGGCUAACUACGUGCCAGCAGCCGCGGUCAUACGUAGGAUCCAAGCGUUAUCCGGAAUUACUGGGCGUAAAGAGUUGCGUAGGUGGCAUUAUAAGUGGAGCGUGAAAGCGUGCGGCUCAACCGCAUUAUUGCGUUCCAAACUGUGAAGCUUGAGUAUGGGAGAGGUAGAUGGAAUUUCUAGUGUAGGAGUGAAAUCCGUAGAUAUUAGAAGGAACACCGAUGGCGUAGGCAGUCUACUGGCCCAUUACUGACACUAAGGCACGAAAGCGUGGGGAGCAAACGGGAUUAGAUACCCCGGUAGUCCACGCUGUAAACUAUGGAUGCUAGCUGUGACACACAUCGACCUGUGUCGUAGCGAAGUUAACGCGUUAAGCAUCCCGCCUGGGGGAGUACGGUCGCAGAUAACUACAAGAAGUAGAGCGNGAGAGNGCGAGACGACGACGAGGGAGAGG
Molecule: ribosomal RNA, 590 nt
Filed under: uncultured bacterium
Lineage: Bacteria
Description: bacterial SSU rRNA
Rfam family: Bacterial small subunit ribosomal RNA (bases 1-520)
Source: RNAcentral